Molecule: ribosomal RNA, 480 nt
Filed under: uncultured bacterium
Lineage: Bacteria
Description: bacterial SSU rRNA
Rfam family: Bacterial small subunit ribosomal RNA
Source: RNAcentral
AUGCAGUCGACGGUAACAGACGGAAGCUUGCUUCUGUGCUGACGAGUGGCGGACGGGUGAGUAAUGCAUAGGAAUCUACCCAGUAGUGGGGGAUAACGUGGAGAAAUCCACGCUAAUACCGCAUAUGUUCUACGGAACAAAGCAGGGGACCUUCGGGCCUUGCGCUAUUGGAUGAGCCUAUGUUGGAUUAGCUUGUUGGUAGGGUAAAAGCCUACCAAGGCAACGAUCCAUAGCUGGUCUGAGAGGAUGAUCAGCCACACUGGGACUGAGACACGGCCCAGACUCCUACGGGAGGCAGCAGUGGGGAAUAUUGCACAAUGGGCGCAAGCCUGAUGCAGCAAUGCCGCGUGUGUGAAGAAGGCCUGCGGGUUGUAAAGCACUUUUAUUAGGAAAGAAAAACCCGGAGUUAAUACCUCCGGUCUUGACGGUACCUAAAGAAUAAGCACCGGCUAACUCAGUGCCAGCAGCCGCGGUAAUACG